RNAcentral lists this ribosomal RNA (926 nucleotides) under uncultured marine bacterium. Its description in RNAcentral is "bacterial SSU rRNA". It matches the Rfam family "Bacterial small subunit ribosomal RNA", at positions 54 to 955 of the family's 1533-position model. The record is from RNAcentral.
CAUGCAGUCGUACGAGAAAGCCACCUUCGGGUGGCGAGUAGAGUGGCGCACGGGUGAGUAACGCGUGGGUAAUGUGCCUUCGGGUCUGGGAUAACUCUGGGAAACCGGGGCUAAUACCGGAUGAGACCACGAGACCUCCGGUUCUUGUGGAAAAAGGUGGCCUCUCGACGAAGCCAUCGCCUGAAGAUCAGCCCGCGUCCCAUUAGCUUGUUGGUGGGGUAACAGCCUACCAAGGCUUCGAUGGGUAGCUGGUCUGAGAGGACGAUCAGCCACACUGGAACUGAGACACGGUCCAGACUCCUACGGGAGGCAGCAGUCGGGAAUUUUGGGCAAUGGGGGAAACCCUGACCCAGCAACGCCGCGUGAGGGAUGAAGGCCUUCGGGUCGUAAACCUCUGUCGGGAGGGAAGAACGGUUCGGGGUCCAAUAGGCCUCGGAUUUGACGGUACCUCCAAAGGAAGCACCGGCUAACUCCGUGCCAGCAGCCGCGGUAAUACGGAGGGUGCAAGCGUUGUUCGGAAUUACUGGGCGUAAAGCGCGUGUAGGCGGCUUGGCAAGUCGGAUGUGAAAGCCCGAGGCUCAACCUCGGAAUUGCAUUCGAAACUGCCAGGCUAGAGUCCCGGAGAGGGUGGUGGAAUUCCCAGUGUAGAGGUGAAAUUCGUAGAUAUUGGGAGGAACACCAGUGGCGAAGGCGGCCACCUGGACGGUGACUGACGCUGAGACGCGAAAGCGUGGGGAGCAAACAGGAUUAGAUACCCUGGUAGUCCACGCCGUAAACGUUGGGUGCUGGUUGUCGCGGGUCUUGACCCCCGCGGUGACGAAACUAACGCAAUAAGCACCCCGCCUGGGGAGUACGGUCGCAAGACUAAAACUCAAAGGAAUUGACGGGGGCCCGCACAAGCGGUGGAGCAUGUGGUUUAAUUCGAA